Long non-coding RNA from Gasterosteus aculeatus aculeatus (three-spined stickleback), 3031 nucleotides. The record is from Ensembl. Lineage: Eukaryota; Metazoa; Chordata; Actinopteri; Perciformes; Gasterosteidae.
ACCCUAACCCCCUCAAAAAAUCCAACAUGGCGGAGAGACGUUCACUCAAGAAUCCGACAUGGUCCGCCAUGUUGUUCAGUCAGGGGGCGUGGUUAACCACCGCCAGUUCGCAUGUAUCGCUACGAAUUUGUAUGUCCAAGAUUUCCGUAGACGUUUUUGGGAUCACAUAUUGCUGGGAUGUGUUAAUCUUACACCUCUGCUCAGCGAGGAGAAAUAGAUGCUUUCUCCCGCUCGCGCCCUGACUUUGAGUCGUCGGCCCAGUGAUCUCUGUUAGGCUAAUUAAGCCAUUUAACCUGCCGAAACAGUUCAGUGCGGCUGCCGCGACACCUCGCCGGGACCCUGAAGGUGCAUCGCGCGGAUGCUCGUGUGUGACUGAUCCCUUCCCAGAUACAGCAAAAGGACGAGCGAUGUUUCAUAUCAUUACCAUAAACAAAUUAGGGCACCGCUCCCUCGUUAGGCCAAAUAUGUCUCAUUAGUGCCACAGCUGAACAAACCUCCCGAUUAGGCCUCACUGUCUUCCUUUGAAGCCGCAAAAGGAGGGUCUAUUUUUUAAUUAAGCUCAUUUGCAUCAACAAAUGAGAAGCUAAUUAAUGAGACCCGUUUUCUGGGUCCUUUUUUUGAGUUUGGCAGGAAGAUGGUUUGCGAGCCAUUAAAUCAGGUCAGAGUGUCAUCAAAGAGACGUGUACGGUUUAUAAUCUCAAACCUUAAUAUUUAAACUAUUUAAUAUGCAGACAAGGUCUACACUGUUAAAAAAACAGCCUCUUCUUGGAGGACUGACGUUCUCCCUGAAACCAUUUGAUUCUCUAGAACUCUUUUUAUGAAUUCAUAUUAGCUAAUCAAGAUUUCUUUUUUAAGACUAUGUUGAGUCCUUUUCCUCCAUUUUUAAAUUUAAAAGUGUUCACCGCUUUGGCUGGACAACUCAAAGAACAGCAUUCAAACACAUUUAAACUCAAAGCGUUUAUUAAGUAAACAGCUGCUUGCAAAACAAUAGAAUUGAAUUUCAGAAUUAAAAGACCAAAUUGGCAACAAAUCAGGAACAACCUGUUUAAAUAUUUCUGUAAUAGUUGGUUUUCUCAUAACUAAUCAUUAUCCAUCAAAGUAUGUGUUUGUCUUCACUCGUAGUAACUACAUCUGACUAAAUCCUCGAUGAACUGACCAAGAACAACAAUAAACAAACAGUAAACAACAUUAUUGUCGUCACCAGGGUGCGUGGAGGGCAGGACUCAAACGCAGACUUCAAAGUGACAAGAGAUACACACGGCUUAAAUACACUGGGGAGGCGCAGGUGAUUGGACACAGGUGGAAACAAUCAGACAAUCACAGGGGACGACAGGACAAGGCAGGAAGUGAAGUUAGCCAGAGAGACAAGAAGCAGAAAACUACAAAAUAAGACAGGAAAUAAACCCACACCGUGACAAUCGUAUUGUCUAGACUAGAGAACUGCAAACUCUACAUUGGUCUUUAGGAAUCUUUUUGGCCAGAUUUAAUCAUUAAUUAAUCAUUACACCCUGGAACACUGGAGCUCCGGGGCGGCGCCGUCUCCUGCAGACGUGAGCAUGCGCAGUGGAAAAUGUAGUUCUAUUUCUCUUGUCUUCUUCUUCUGCUUCUUUUCAUGUCUAUAUAUAUAUAUAUAUAUGUGUGUGUGUGUGUGUGUGUGUUUACUAUCAUAUACCCACGCCCGCUGGCCUAGUUACCCAUAUAGCCCCAAGUUAACUAUACUAGUUCCUUUCUCUACUUAACGGUCUCAGUGGCUACUCACUGUAGCAUCAUCAUGUUGCACCUCACCACCACAAAGGGGCAGCAUCCUCUAAAGAACUGCCCCAACCUGCAGGCAGCAGUGCCAACGCUCAGGCUGGGUCCGUUUCAGUGUGAUGCUCCAUAACGGACGCUGAGUGGCAGCCUCGCGUCUCUAUUACGUGUCGUACGCAGGCAGCGUGUUCUUCAGCCUCAGGAGACCUUUUGCUUUCCCCAAACAACGAUUAAAAAGAGAAGGAUUAUUUUUUUUCUGCAGGCCGGCGUGGUGUUGGGCGCCUCACAACAAGAAGGUCCCGGGUUCUUUGGUGGUGGAGGUUGCAGGUUCUGUCCGGGUACUCCACCUUCCUCUCACAGUGACACAUUUCCUGUAUGAUGAACGUGACUGAUAUUAUCUCUGCGACGUGAGACUCACUGUGUCACCAAAAGGACACUGCGCUAUGAUAUUUGAUGAGGUUAGGUGACGUUUUUUAAAACACUUUAAAAAAGAGUUCCGAAAAGUUCACUGUGUUUCUUUCGAUGACGCUUCAUCAUAACGUUGCACCAUAACCUGCUCACAUACCAUCUGACCGUAUGUUGUGCGGAUGCAGAUUUAAAACAUUAAGCUCGCCUGUUGUCUUUGAAAGUAUUAAUAACAGUUUAUAGGCCUCAUGAUAUGUGACUGGUUGAACACACAGUGAAAACCGAGGCCUUCACGGGUCAAAUGUCACGCGCGAGCGUAACUUCCCCCUGAUCCUUUGCAGCGUGCACGUUGAUUUGUCCACAUCACACGAGCGUGCAUGUGAAAUAUAAUAAUAGUAACAAGGAAGGAGGCAAAUGAUUGUAAUCAUUAAAGAAGGAAGCUCUCGAGGUUGCUUUUAAAAAACCAAUAAAGCACAUCAGUGCCAACUUGUUCCCUCAGUCCGCUGCACACACACCGAAAACCAUCGCGCUGGACUUUGUGACAAAAUGUCUGAGAUGUUCUGUGGAACCAAGAGAAGGAGCUUUCUGAACAGAAAUCAGAUUUCCUUCAUUCGGUGAAAGCUGCGCCGCGUGCCGCUCCCCUCUCGGGCAGGUGAGUUCUGCUGAGCUCAUGUUGUUGCAAAUGAUCCAAAUAAGCGUAUUUGCAUAACGAGUUCAUUUAAACGUUCCACCAAAAGCGAGUUAACGGUGAUUAGUGACAGUGAACAAUGCAGCAGCGUCGCUGGAUCUGCGACCGGGCGGCGCGUCGACUAUCGCGCUUGAAACCGGCAGUAGGCGCGAGCUCUUUCCGAGUAAAUUAAAACGCCCCCCUGAUGGG